Papaver somniferum (opium poppy) is the source of this 1279-nucleotide long non-coding RNA. RefSeq lists it as uncharacterized. Lineage: Eukaryota; Viridiplantae; Streptophyta; Magnoliopsida; Ranunculales; Papaveraceae. The transcript has 2 exons. The record is from RefSeq and is a predicted model, not a curated record.
ACUCUUUUUGUUUUUCUUAUCUCUCUCUUAAGCUCCCCUCUGAAAUUCUCAUAGAUCUAAUCUUAUCUCUCACAUGUCAAAGACUAAUCAUAACCACAUCUGAAAAUCAAAACCCAUGUAUCAGAUCUAAGAGAAAAACCCUCUUUUAUAACCAAAAACAAACCCUCAUCUCACUUCAGCUCAUUCGUUUUUUGUACGAGAAGCCUGCAUAUCCAUACAACUCUCAUAACCGAAUCAAGCCUGAUUUCAAAACCUAAUCCUCACUGCAUGUUUGAAUCAAAACCCAACUAAGAAUCAGAAUUUAUAUCCCCUAAUUUUGUACCUAGAUUUAGUCAUUUUUUUCUCCUGAAAUCAAACAAACCCUCGUCUCAAAUUCAACUGAAUUUGAGAGUACAAGAAAAAGAUUUCAUCAGUUUCUCUGGAGGAGUGACAUGCAUCUUCAAGUAAGGUUCCGCAGCUCGUACCAUGACAAAUGAUGGAAUUCCAUAGAAGCUUGCCAGCCAAUUUCACUUUCCUUGAAUAAACCAUACUUUUCACCCAUUCUGGGGAGUCACUGGGUUCAGAUAAACUGAUAAGGUAAGAAGGAGAUUAACACGAAGCUACAUUGCAAUCUCUAGAUCAGAUAAGCAGAAUAAUUUUGCUCCAUUGUAUAUUUUAGUCGAUAUGGUCCAUGAGGUGCCCCCUAGUUCGUACAUCACCAUUCUUGAAACUAUCAGGAUAUGUAAAGCACCCCUGUAACCUUGGGCAUGCCAUGAACAUUUAAAAGUUGGGCGGAACUUGGAAUGCUUCCUGAAAUUGAUUAAUAAAGGCAUGUUAAUUAAUUAGCUUCUUCGAAGAUAUAUUGAACAUUCUUAGUCGACUGUCCUACACUUGUGUGCAUAUCACAGAAGUGAAAGGUUAAGAGGCAAAGGCAAGGGACAAUGGAAGAAGCCAUGACCCGCAUCGGGAUACUGUACUUGCUUAAUCUAAUGGCAAAGAUGGUCGACGUCUUCUAGUCUAGUACUAUAAUGGAAGCCGAUUGGAGCAUUUGUAGAUUCUUGGGAUUGUGUCUAUGUUUCCAGCUAGUUCUAUUUUUGUUAUAACUUCGAACUUCAGACCUUGAGAACUUCAUGAUGAAUCUGUUUACUUUCAAAAACUAAGAGCCAAUUCCAUGUACAUGUCGCAGAGGAGGUUACCUCGAUUUUCAUGACGAGGUAUCCUCCAAGGACAAUGUCUUUUACAGGUAACAGCUCAAAAUGUAUAUAUACCAGUUUUAAUUUGGUGACGUAUGAUUGUUGUU